Molecule: long non-coding RNA, 1705 nt
Organism: Ictalurus punctatus (channel catfish)
Lineage: Eukaryota; Metazoa; Chordata; Actinopteri; Siluriformes; Ictaluridae
Source: Ensembl
UAAUGUUGAGCCUAAACAUUUGGUUUCAGCGAGCAGUCUACCUUCAUGAACUGACUCGCGAACAAGAGCUGGAGUAACCAUAACUAAUUUGUGUAUCGGUGAUUCCUAUACGGGAACAGAGCUGAGUGCAGUGUUAUGUGUGAGGCGUCACCACCUCAACGGGGGGAGGUGUUCACCCGGAGGUAGGAGACCCGGAGGUGUUCACGCGGAGGUAGGAGACCCGGAGGUGUUCACCCGGAGGUGGGAGACACGGAGCAGCGAGAGAAUGCUGACUACGAGAAUGCUGACUACAGGGCAGCAGCGGACUAGAACAUGCAACCCCUGGAGGAUGCUCAAUCCUCCAAUGACGAGAUGGUGGGGAACACGUGAAGGUCCGGUACGAAGCUGCUGUGUAUGAAGCUGCCGUCAACGGGGGGUCUGCUCAGUCAGUGGCAGACAGGAUGAGAAGAUGUGAAGAUCCAUACCCUGGGUGUACGUGCUAGCCUAACCUCUCCCCAAAGGGUGGCUCUCUACAGUACGUAAAGUGCUUGAGCUGAAGACAACCAGCAUACAGAGAGAUACUGCAUACAACAGACUGUCAAGUAUUGCUAUAAAAUGUUAUAAAAUGUUUGUGAUAUGACGCACUCAGGCAUGAGAAAAGUGUAAUGGUGCUGUCGAGCACAUAGUGCUGACAGGGUGGGAACCUCGUAGGAGGUUUUUUCGCCCACCCCUGACUGCGAAAGACUGGGGUUUGGUUUUUGAGGGGAAGCAAGAAUCUGCAGGUCCCGACAAAUACAAAACUGUGGGCUGACAGGCCUAGUUGAGAAAGAUAGGGACGUGUAGAUCAAGUAGUUAGUUACUGUAGUGGCCACUAAUACGUACGGCAGUAGUAGUAGUAAUGAAUGAUUAGGGGAACUCAGUUAAUCACACUUAUAAUCAAUGUAGGCAAACAAACGUAUAAUCAAGGUAGUUAGAUUUGAAAUGAGAUAUAUAUACAUAGUUGAAAGGAGAAGUAGGUUAAGGGUUAAGAGUUAUGGCUAAGUACAUCUACACAUGUCCGGCGCAAAGUGGAUGUAGGGGGGUCCUAAGGCCCAUUCUCCAGCUGCCAAUCUACUAUGAGACCCCGGGGUGCACAACACUAGCACGUCUCCCACCAGGUCUACAAAACCUCCUCAGCUCCUAUUCAGAUCAGUGUUGCAUAGAAGUGGUUAAUGUAAGGGACCCAUUUGAGUACAGGGACGGGCGCAGGGAUUAUGGCUUCGUUAGAGUAAUCCUCCGACAGCUAGCGGGGGACGGCCAUGGGGUGCGGCAGAAUCAGUUCCUCCACGCUUAAUUAAGGUAUUGUAUGAGGCUUCAUAGCCUCAGAGGGGGAAAUGUUGUGGAUAAAAAAUGUCAUAAAAUAAACAUAAGGGAGACCUAGCAUCCAGCAAAGGGGAGAAGAAGAAAAGACGGGCACCUAGACACAUAGAAGCGGGAUUAGGCGGACAUUGACAAAUUGGAAUUACACUUUAAAGAUCUUUAAGAGCAGUAAUAGUCAAAAAAGUCAAAAAGAGGUAUACGAGCUGAGCUGAGGAGUGCUAAUACACACACACACACACGCUCAAGCGGGAUUAGGCGGACAUUGACAGAUUGGAAUUACGAGCAAUUUAAGAGCAGUAAUAGUCAAAAAAGUCAAAAAGAAGUGUACGGCUGAAGGAGUGCUAAAAACACACACACACACACACAC